Molecule: small RNA, 91 nt
Filed under: Cricetulus griseus (Chinese hamster)
Lineage: Eukaryota; Metazoa; Chordata; Mammalia; Rodentia; Cricetidae
Source: RNAcentral
AAAGCCUACAGGACCUGAUAUUCCCAGGUGGUCUCCCAUCCAAGUACUAAUCAGAUCCAACACUGCUUAAUUUCAGAGAUCAGACUAGAUC